UUUCGUUUUUUGUCAGAUUAUGCCGGGAAGGGUUUUCCGGUUUACCCCGGAGGGCUUGUAGCUCAGUUGGUUAGAGCGCGCGCUUGAUAAGCGUGAGGUCGGAGGUUCAAGUCCUCCCAGGCCCACCAAUUUAUGCUUGCUUAGAGGAAGAUUUUGUUCAGUGCGGUUCUUUUUAAGCGUUUCAAGCAGUUACUAUUUUUUUUAGGGGCCGUAGCUCAGCUGGGAGAGCACCUGCUUUGCAAGCAGGGGGUCGUCGGU
Molecule: unclassified non-coding RNA, 258 nt
Filed under: uncultured Bartonella sp.
Lineage: Bacteria; Pseudomonadati; Pseudomonadota; Alphaproteobacteria; Hyphomicrobiales; Bartonellaceae
Description: partial 16S-23S ribosomal RNA intergenic spacer
Rfam family: tRNA (bases 52-125)
Source: RNAcentral